Molecule: long non-coding RNA, 211 nt
Organism: Zophobas morio
Lineage: Eukaryota; Metazoa; Arthropoda; Insecta; Coleoptera; Tenebrionidae
Exons: 3
Source: RefSeq, a predicted model, not a curated record
GAUCUGUUGCUUGUACGGUUGAGUAUAUAUUUAAGACUCGAGCUGAGUCCCAUCAUGCCGCUUCUGAAGAAAAUAAUUCAUUUUUGAAUUAUGAAAAUCAGGCCGAUUCUUUUUUUUAUGAUGAUAUGGCUUCAAAAUUUCAGUACCAGCAUUUACACGCAAUAUUUCCCGAUGUGGACCAAUCGCUACUGUUGGAUUUGUUCUCUGAUAA